Molecule: transfer RNA, 69 nt
Filed under: Johnius belangerii (Belanger's croaker)
Lineage: Eukaryota; Metazoa; Chordata; Actinopteri; Sciaenidae
Description: tRNA-Met
Rfam family: tRNA
About the family: Transfer RNA (tRNA) molecules are approximately 80 nucleotides in length. Their secondary structure includes four short double-helical elements and three loops (D, anti-codon, and T loops). Further hydrogen bonds mediate the characteristic L-shaped molecular structure. tRNAs have two regions of fundamental functional importance: the anti-codon, which is responsible for specific mRNA codon recognition, and the 3' end, to which the tRNAs corresponding amino acid is attached (by aminoacyl-tRNA synthetases). tRNAs cope with the degeneracy of the genetic code in two manners: having more than one tRNA (with a specific anti-codon) for a particular amino acid; and 'wobble' base-pairing, i.e. permitting non-standard base-pairing at the 3rd anti-codon position.
Source: RNAcentral
AGUAAAGUCAGCUAAUUAAGCUUUCGGGCCCAUACCCCGGCAAUGUGGGUUAAAAUCCCCCCUUUACUA